RNAcentral lists this ribosomal RNA (1502 nucleotides) under Lactiplantibacillus pentosus. Its description in RNAcentral is "bacterial SSU rRNA". It matches the Rfam family "Bacterial small subunit ribosomal RNA". The record is from RNAcentral. Lineage: Bacteria; Bacillati; Bacillota; Bacilli; Lactobacillales; Lactobacillaceae.
CGGUCAGACGAACGUUGGCGGCGUGCCUAAUACAUGCAAGUCGAACGAACUUUGGUAUUGAUUGGUGCCUGCAUCAUGAUUUACAUUUGAGUGAGUGGCGAACUGGUGAGUAACACGUGGGAAACCUGCCCAGAAGCGGGGGAUAACACCUGGAAACAGAUGCUAAUACCGCAUAACAACUUGGACCGCAUGGUCCGAGUUUGAAAGAUGGCUUCGGCUAUCACUUUUGGAUGGUCCCGCGGCGUAUUAGCUAGAUGGUGGGGUAACGGCUCACCAUGGCAAUGAUACGUAGCCGACCUGAGAGGGUAAUCGGCCACAUUGGGACUGAGACACGGCCCAAACUCCUACGGGAGGCAGCAGUAGGGAAUCUUCCACAAUGGACGAAAGUCUGAUGGAGCAACGCCGCGUGAGUGAAGAAGGGUUUCGGCUCGUAAAACUCUGUUGUUAAAGAAGAACAUAUCUGAGAGUAACUGUUCAGGUAUUGACGGUAUUUAACCAGAAAGCCACGGCUAACUACGUGCCAGCAGCCGCGGUAAUACGUAGGUGGCAAGCGUUGUCCGGAUUUAUUGGGCGUAAAGCGAGCGCAGGCGGUUUUUUAAGUCUGAUGUGAAAGCCUUCGGCUCAACCGAAGAAGUGCAUCGGAAACUGGGAAACUUGAGUGCAGAAGAGGACAGUGGAACUCCAUGUGUAGCGGUGAAAUGCGUAGAUAUAUGGAAGAACACCAGUGGCGAAGGCGGCUGUCUGGUCUGUAACUGACGCUGAGGCUCGAAAGUAUGGGUAGCAAACAGGAUUAGAUACCCUGGUAGUCCAUACCGUAAACGAUGAAUGCGCUAAGUGUUGGAGGGUUUCCGCCCUUCAGUGCUCGCAGCUAACGCAUUAAGCAUUCCGCUGGGGAGUACGGCCGCAAGGCUGAAACUCAAAGGAAUUGACGGGGGCCCGCACAAGCGGUGGAGCAUGUGGUUUAAUUCGAAGCUACGCGAAGAACCUUACCAGGUCUUGACAUACUAUGCAAAUCUAAGAGAUUAGACGUUCCCUUCGGGGACAUGGAUACAGGUGGUGCAUGGUUGUCGUCAGCUCGUGUCGUGAGAUGUUGGGUUAAGUCCCGCAACGAGCGCAACCCUUAUUAUCAGUUGCCAGCAUUAAGUUGGGCACUCUGGUGAGACUGCCGGUGACAAACCGGAGGAAGGUGGGGAUGACGUCAAAUCAUCAUGCCCCUUAUGACCUGGGCUACACACGUGCUACAAUGGAUGGUACAACGAGUUGCGAACUCGCGAGAGUAAGCUAAUCUCUUAAAGCCAUUCUCAGUUCGGAUUGUAGGCUGCAACUCGCCUACAUGAAGUCGGAAUCGCUAGUAAUCGCGGAUCAGCAUGCCGCGGUGAAUACGUUCCCGGGCCUUGUACACACCGCCCGUCACACCAUGAGAGUUUGUAACACCCAAAGUCGGUGGGGUAACCUUUUAGGAACCAGCCGCCUAAGGUGGGACAGAUGAUUAGGGUGAAGUC